GACGAACGCUGGCGGCGUGCUUAACACAUGCAAGUCGAGCGGUAAGGCCCUUUCGGGGGUACACGAGCGGCGAACGGGUGAGUAACACGUGGGUGACCUGCCCUCAGCUCUGGGAUAAGCCUGGGAAACCGGGUCUAAUACUGGAUAUGACUCCAUGACGCAUGUUGUGGGGUGGAAAGCCUUGUGCGGCUGAGGAUGGGCCCGCGGCCUAUCAGCUUGUUGGUGGGGUGAUGGCCUACCAAGGCGACGACGGGUAGCCGGCCUGAGAGGGCGACCGGCCACACUGGGACUGAGACACGGCCCAGACUCCUACGGGAGGCAGCAGUGGGGAAUCUUGCGCAAUGGGCGAAAGCCUGACGCAGCGACGCCGCGUGAGGAAUGACGGCCU
RNAcentral lists this ribosomal RNA (388 nucleotides) under uncultured bacterium. Its description in RNAcentral is "bacterial SSU rRNA". It matches the Rfam family "Bacterial small subunit ribosomal RNA", at positions 28 to 417 of the family's 1533-position model. The record is from RNAcentral.